Molecule: non-coding RNA, 95 nt
Filed under: Lotharella globosa
Lineage: Eukaryota; Cercozoa; Chlorarachniophyceae
Source: RNAcentral
AUUGACCCAGGGCGUAUCUGGAAGGGGGGUUGGAGGUGGUUUAGCGAAGAGAUGCUGGACUGCUGUGAAUCGCUAGAGAAAAUCCGAAAACAGGG